Molecule: long non-coding RNA, 316 nt
Organism: Melitaea cinxia (Glanville fritillary)
Lineage: Eukaryota; Metazoa; Arthropoda; Insecta; Lepidoptera; Nymphalidae
Exons: 2
Source: RefSeq, a predicted model, not a curated record
AUGUGUAUACUUCGUUAAGUAAGAUGGGAGAGGAAACGUUCUUCGCUAUCGAGAUACAUCCAUCCUGUGCAGAAAAGCAGGGACAAUGCAUACCAAGAGCUCAAUGUGUGGAGAAGAAAAUGCUCUAUAUAUCAAGAGCGUGCUAUAAACGAGAUUUAGUUUGUUGUUACGAUAAUACAAUCCGUUUCCCUACAAUUGAACACGUUACUGAAUCGAAAAACUCCACGGAUGAAUAAUCAAGUCCUAAUAAUCUAAUAUGCCUUCUGCAACUGAAAUUUUAAUAAAGAUUGUUUCAUGAAGUGAACUUAUCAUUGAA